This 301-nucleotide ribosomal RNA is filed under the name uncultured bacterium. Its description in RNAcentral is "partial 16S ribosomal RNA". It matches the Rfam family "Bacterial small subunit ribosomal RNA", at positions 509 to 807 of the family's 1533-position model. The record is from RNAcentral.
CAGUAGCCGCGGUAAUACGAAGGGGGCUAGCGUUGUUCGGAAUUACUGGGCGUAAAGCGCACGUAGGCGGACAUUUAAGUCAGGGGUGAAAUCCCGGGGCUCAACCCCGGAACUGCCUUUGAUACUGGGUGUCUAGAGUAUGGAAGAGGUGAGUGGAAUUCCGAGUGUAGAGGUGAAAUUCGUAGAUAUUCGGAGGAACACCAGUGGCGAAGGCGGCUCACUGGUCCAUUACUGACGCUGAGGUGCGAAAGCGUGGGGAGCAAACAGGAUUAGAUACCCCGGUAGUCCCUGUCUCUUAUAC